Molecule: unclassified non-coding RNA, 160 nt
Filed under: uncultured Diaporthales
Lineage: Eukaryota; Fungi; Ascomycota; Sordariomycetes; Diaporthales
Description: sequence contains ITS2
Source: RNAcentral
CAACCCUCAAGCACUGCUUGGUGUUGGGGCACUGCUUCUUACCCAGGAAGCAGGCCCUGAAAUCUAGUGGCGAGCUCGCCAGGACCCCGAGCGCAGUAGUUAAACCCUCGCUCUGGAAGGCCCUGGCGGUGCCCUGCCGUUAAACCCCCAACUUCUGAAA